RNAcentral lists this ribosomal RNA (465 nucleotides) under uncultured bacterium. RNAcentral's name for it is "partial 16S ribosomal RNA". It matches the Rfam family "Bacterial small subunit ribosomal RNA", at positions 338 to 795 of the family's 1533-position model. The record is from RNAcentral.
CCUACGGGUGGCAGCAGUGGGGAAUAUUGCACAAUGGGCGCAAGCCUGAUGCAGCCAUGCCGCGUGUAUGAAGAAGGCUUUCGGGUUGUAAAGUUCUUUCAGUCGGGAGGAAGGUGUCAAUGUUUAUAACCUUAGCAAUUGAUGUUUCCGUCAGAACAGGCGCGGGCUAACUCCGUGCCAGCACCCUCGGUGAUAUGGAGGGUGCAAGCGUUAAUCGGAGUUACUGGGCGUAAAGCGCACGCAGGCGGUUGAUUGAGUCAGAUGUGAAAUCCCCGGGCUUAACCCGGGAAUUGCAUCUGAUACUGGUCAGCUAGAGUGUUGGAGAGGUAAGUAGAAUUCCAAGUGUAGCGGUGAAAUGCGUAGAGAUGAGGAGGAAUACCGGUGGCGAAGGCGGCCUCCUGGACAAAGAAUGACGCUCAGGUGCGAAAGCGUGGGGAGCAAACAGGAUUAGAUACCCCUGUAGUC